Molecule: ribosomal RNA, 492 nt
Filed under: uncultured bacterium
Lineage: Bacteria
Description: partial 16S ribosomal RNA
Rfam family: Bacterial small subunit ribosomal RNA
Source: RNAcentral
AGUGAACGCUGGCGGUAGGCCUAACACAUGCAAGUCGAACGGCAGCACAGUAAGAGCUUGCUCUUACGGGUGGCGAGUGGCGGACGGGUGAGGAAUACAUCGGAAUCUACUUUUUCGUGGGGGAUAACGUAGGGAAACUUACGCUAAUACCGCAUACGACCUACGGGUGAAAGCAGGGGAUCUUCGCACCUUGCGCGAUUGAAUGAGCCGAUGUCGGAUUGGCUAGUUGGCGGGGUAAAGGCCCACCAAGGCGACGCUCCGUAGCUGGUCUGAGAGGAUGAUCCGCCACACUGGAACUGAGACACGGUCCAGACUCCUAAGGGAGGCAACAGUGGGGAAUAUUGGACAAUGGGCGCAAGCCUGAUCCAGCCAUACCGCGUGGGUGAAGAAGGCCUUCGGGUUGUAAAGCCCUUUUGUUGGGAAAGAAAAGCAGCAGGUUAAUACCCCGCUGUUCUGACGGUACCCAAAGAAUAAGCACCGGCUAACUUCGUG